Molecule: ribosomal RNA, 253 nt
Filed under: uncultured bacterium
Lineage: Bacteria
Description: partial 16S ribosomal RNA
Rfam family: Bacterial small subunit ribosomal RNA
Source: RNAcentral
UACGAAGGGGGCUAGCGUUGUUCGGAAUUACUGGGCGUAAAGCGCACGUAGGCGGACUGCCAAGUCAGGGGUGAAAUCCCGGGGCUCAACCUCGGAACUGCCUCUGAUACUGUCAGUCUAGAGUCCGGAAGAGGUGGGUGGAAUUCCUAGUGUAGAGGUGAAAUUCGCAGAUAUUAGGAAGAACACCGGUGGCGAAGGCGGCCCACUGGUCCGGAACUGACGCUGAGGUGCAAAAGCGUGGGGAGCAAACAGG